This is an RNA transcript of Apis dorsata (giant honeybee), 2783 nucleotides long. It is a transcript of the gene named sphingosine kinase 2, with no coding region annotated. The transcript is spliced from 8 exons. The record is from RefSeq and is a predicted model, not a curated record. NCBI's taxonomy places the organism in Eukaryota, Metazoa, Arthropoda, Insecta, Hymenoptera, Apidae.
ACAUAAACAGUAUAUACCGUGACUUCGGUGUGUUCGAAACAGUUCAAUGUUUGAAUGCGUACAAGUACAGAAGUAACCAAAGUAGUGGUGAAAUAAUUUUUUUUAAUUGUACGUCAAUAUAACAGAAUUCUUUCGAUUACCAUAAAUGGUUCAGAAAAAAUUUCAAUACAUGCGAAUAUGACUUAAAUAUCUUUUGCAAAACAAAUCCUUUAAUAAGGAUAAUGUCAGAAAUAAAUUAGUCGGAAAAUGCACGUGUUCCGUUAAAUUCGUAACACGACAGGUUGAAUAAUCAAAUGACAAAGAAAUGCUUGAUAAAAUGAUAAAAACAGUGAGUAAAAAUUAAGUCAAUUGAACGAUUAUCAAUACUCUUCCUUAAAUGGAAUCAUAUGAAGCAACAAUAUUUUGCAGUGGCAGAAAAAAGAACUUUAUCAAAGUGUUUAUUAAGUGCCUUAAUUAUGAUAAUGAUCUUAUGGGACGAUUAUCAGUGUGAUUUAUGUUUAUUAUUGAAUGAAAGACAGUGAUCAGCGUGUCAUGGAGGACAGUGGUCAAGUACAUUCUACUCUUCUCGAAGAAACCUUUUAUGUUACGUCCAAAAAAAACACUUACUAUAAGGUGAGACUAACAGAAAAGGGCCUUAGCCUAGAGAAAGACAAUAAUGGUACGACGAAGGUUGAAACGAUCAUUCUAAACGACAUAAUAGGGUGUAGAUGUAUGCGUUCGAAACGUAAAAGCGCGGGAAGCUGUGUUUGUGGGCCAGGUACUUCGAGAUCUCAAUUCAAGCUAGUCGAGUCUGCAGAAGCAUAUCAAUGUUAUGAUGAGUUCGAUACCUCGGCCUAUCUUUAUAUCUAUGCUUACACAUUGAAGAAAGCACGUAUGAAAGGUGUCAAGAGACGAGAAAGGACGACGAUCACGCUACGAUUCCGCAGUUUUGACAAAUAUGAAGAUAAUCUACGAGAAGCAAGCAGGUGGCGAUUAGCUAUAAAAUGUCUCAUUGUUGGUGUGCCUGUGCCUAAAAGUUUUAUGAGUCCGAGCCACGAGAAUCUUGAAUCGUUGAUUAGUGCUUGUCCAGGCGAGCAACGAAAGAUACUAGUAUUGCUGAAUCCGAAAUCUGGACCGGGAAGAAGCCGAGAAACCUUCCAGAAAAGAAUCCAUCCGAUUCUAUCGGAAGCAGAGAGGCCUUAUGAGGUUCACGUCACCAAGUGUCCCAAUUACGCACGCGAGUUCGUGCAUACGAGGGACAUCUAUCAAUGGAGCGGACUCGUGAUGGUCGGGGGCGACGGAAUAGUGUUCGACGUAGUAAAUGGACUUUUUCAGAGGCCCGAUUGGGAGAAAGCUCUGAAGGAAUUACCCCUUGGCGUGAUACCCUGCGGUUCCGGUAAUGGCUUGGCGAAAUCCAUCGCGUACGCUAAACAGGAACCAUACGAUUACAAUCCUCUUCUUAUCAGUGCAUUAUCCGUGGUAAAAUUCAAGAAAGCUCAGAUGGAUUUGGUGCGCGUUGAAACCAGAAAUCAGAUUCUAUUUUCAUUUUUAUCGGUUGGAUGGGGUUUACUUGCUGAUAUUGACAUUGAGAGCGAACGUUUACGCGCAAUAGGCGGUCAGAGAUUCACUGUGUGGACUAUCGCCCGUUUGAUAGGCUUGAGAACGUACAAAGGAAAGGUGUCUUAUUUACCUUGCGAUAAAGUACCGUCCGUGGAGAGUUUAGGUAAUGGAAAUGCCUACAAUGAAUAUACGAAGGAAACGCAGAUAUCGCAUUCAAGGAGCUGCGGCGACGAUUUAGAUCGAUACAGUAAAAUCAGUGAAUCAAAGAGUUUUCACGAUACGCUCGAUGGAGAUCCUGCUAUUUUAGAUGGAUCAUCCGAUAUUUACGAUGAUAACGAAAUAAUAAGCGAAAAUAUUACUUUGGAAACAGAAAUUGAGAGAAGACAGAGGCUAGACAGUUUUUAUUCUGCGACAUCUGCGAAAUCGACUUAUUUUAGUACAGGUUCAAUUUCUAGUUACCAUAGUGUUGAUGAACCCGAUAAUGAAAAUAUUGGAAGAAGAAAUAAACAAAUUAAGUACCACUUUUUAAUUAUUCAAAAAUAUGUUAAUCGGAAAAUUGUUGAAAGUAUUUAUAAAAUACAAAAGACAGCAACAAUCAAGUUAUGUAUGGUCCCUCAUCGAGAUUACCGGCUCUAACUUCAGAAGUAUCAAGUUCCUGGACACAAAUACAGGGAGAGUUUGUUAUGGUUCAUGCCGCAUAUCAAUCUCAUUUGGGCCAGGAUUAUUUCUUUGCACCUCGUGCCAAAUUGGCGGACGGUAUUAUUUGGCUCAUGAUAGUGAAAGCCGGAAUUACUCGAGCCAAUUUGCUUCAGUUCCUGUUGGGCUUAAGUAAUGGUUCUCACGUAACGCGUUCUGGCAUCGACAUGAUACCAGUAAAGGCAUUUCGAAUAGAACCAGAAGAAGGAGUCAAUGGAUACAUUACGGUAGAUGGAGAAAGAGUAGAUUAUGGACCUUUACAAGCAGAAAUAUUCCCGUCUUUAGCCACAGUAAUGUCCCCUUGAUACAAAUUAGCAUUACAAUUCGUACAGAGUUAGCAAUGGAAAUCAAAUGGUACAAUCUUAGAACCUUAAGUUCAAUAAGAUAUAUAAUAUAUGUUAUGGUAGCAUGGUCCUGGUGACAAUACUGUAUUAAUAUAUUCUUAUUCGCGAUACGUAAGUACGAUUUUUAGCUCAGAGGAUUAUGGUAGGUGUAUACUCUAGAUUAUGAAGUUAAAUCAUUCCAUCAAAUGUAUACGAAAAAAAUGU